This 496-nucleotide ribosomal RNA is filed under the name uncultured bacterium. RNAcentral's name for it is "partial 16S ribosomal RNA". It matches the Rfam family "Bacterial small subunit ribosomal RNA", at positions 28 to 507 of the family's 1533-position model. The record is from RNAcentral.
GACGAACGCUGGCGGCGUGCCUAAUACAUGCAAGUUGAGCGCUGAAGGUUGGUACUUGUACCAACUGGAUGAGCAGCGAACGGGUGAGUAACGCGUGGGGAAUCUGCCUUUGAGCGGGGGACAACAUUUGGAAACGAAUGCUAAUACCGCAUAAAAACUUUAAACACAAGUUUUAAGUUUGAAAGAUGCAAUUGCAUCACUCAAAGAUGAUCCCGCGUUGUAUUAGCUAGUUGGUGAGGUAAAGGCUCACCAAGGCGAUGAUACAUAGCCGACCUGAGAGGGUGAUCGGCCACAUUGGGACUGAGACACGGCCCAACUCCUACGGGAGGCAGCAGUAGGGAAUCUUCGGCAAUGGACGAAAGUCUGACCGAGCAACGCCGCGUGAGUGAAGAAGGUUUUCGGAUCGUAAAACUCUGUUGGUAGAGAAGAACGUUGGUGAGAGUGGAAAGCUCAUCAAGUGACGGUAACUACCCAGAAAGGGACGGCUAACUACGUG